UGAAACUCUCAUAAGCCUGUUGC
This 23-nucleotide non-coding RNA is filed under the name Arabidopsis thaliana (thale cress). The record is from RNAcentral. Lineage: Eukaryota; Viridiplantae; Streptophyta; Magnoliopsida; Brassicales; Brassicaceae.